AUGAACGCUGGCGGCGUGCUUAACACAUGCAAGUCGAACGGAGAUGUUAAAAGAGAGGAAUUUAGCUUGCUAAUAACAAUCUAUUAAGAUCUUAGUGGCGGACGGGUGAGUAACGCGUGGGUAACCUGCCAUAUACAGGGGGAUAACACUUAGAAAUAGGUGCUAAUACCGCAUAAGCGCACAGCUUCGCAUGAAGCAGUGUGAAAAACUCCGGUGGUAUAUGAUGGACCCGCGUCUGAUUAGCUGGUUGGUGAGGUAACGGCCCACCAAGGCGACGAUCAGUAGCCGGCCUGAGAGGGUGAACGGCCACAUUGGGACUGAGACACGGCCCAAACUCCUACGGGAGGCAGCAGUGGGGAAUAUUGCACAAUGGGCGAAAGCCUGAUGCAGCGACGCCGCGUGAGCGAAGAAGUAUUUCGGUAUGUAAAGCUCUAUCAGCAGGGAAGAAAAAUGACGGUACCUGACUAAGAAGCACCGGCUAAAUACGUG
This 489-nucleotide ribosomal RNA is filed under the name uncultured bacterium. RNAcentral describes it as "bacterial SSU rRNA". It matches the Rfam family "Bacterial small subunit ribosomal RNA", at positions 29 to 507 of the family's 1533-position model. The record is from RNAcentral.